AUGGAAACUUACACCAGACAUCAAAGUGCAUUUGUGUUAAUUUUGUCUUUUAGAAUUUCAGCUCAUUUUUCCAGAGAACACAAUUACCCUGCAAAGUGUACUGCACUUAAGCUGAGAAGUACCUCCGAAGUAAAAUAACUUAGCUGAACCCAACUAACAGGCUAUUUUGUAUGCAAGAGUCCUGGUCCUUUCCCAGGAUUGCCUUGCAGGCUGUGCCCCGUGGACCACCCUUCACCACCAGUCAUGGGCUAUAGGCCACAUCCCCCUCCUCCACCUACUCUAUUUGUUAAGAUGACCUGAACUGGCUGAGUGGCUGGACAACUCUUUUGAAAUUGAAGAGGACUGUGCACGGUGACAGACAAUCGUGUUUGCAUAUACAUUGUAAGAAGGUGUCAGAUCUACCUGAAUGCUUUCCCUGCCCAUCCUGUCCCCUCCACUUUGUCCUUCCUACUGUCCCCUAAUCUACGUUUCAUCGUUUUGUCUCUGUGCCAGCGUCUGCUUCUAGGGCCAUCUACUCUCGCUCCCCAUUGAGUGCACACAGUGGGGUUCCUGUACACACAGGUAACAAAGUGCCAGAAAUGGUGGUGAGGGAGGAUAGAAGCAAGAUCACCCUUUGUGCGGGGGAGCCUGAGGGAGUUUUCCGGGGCGAUGGGAACUACCUAUAUCUAGAUUGAUGGGGUGCUUAUGCUCAAUUAUUUUGGAAAUAUUCCCUGACUCCAUGGUGCCUUGGGGUCAGACAGGUAUCUGUCCUUAGGAAAUGGCUGAGUUCUAAUGGUAGAGAAGGAUGAGGGACCAGCAGUGACUGUGGUAGAGGAGUAAGGGUCAGACCCACGCCCAGGAUGCCAGGUCUCCACAGACAGCACCAAGUGUAGGAGGAUUCUGAGGAGCAGAUAUUUCUUGAUCAGACCCAUGGACUACAUAAUCCUCCUGUAGUUUCCUCACUGAGCGAUGGCUAGAGCCGAGGCCAGCAGCUGGAGGACCUGAUCAUGGCUGGAGUGGAGCAGUGGGCCUGGGGGAUUGAGUCAGGGAAAGGGCCAGGCAGAAGGUAGUGACAGGGAGUUUGAGAGACAAACGGAAGAGAAGAGAAGGGACCCUUCUCUGCUGACUUCACCUACAUUUCUGUGUGACCAAAACGAGACCCUUGUCUCCCACGGAAGGGAAGAGGGCUGGCAAAACACCGAGUGACAUACUCAGCUCAAGUGCCCAGGGUAUCUGCCUUGCUCUUGAGUACCUAACACAGGAAGCACGUGCUUUCUGUUACGAUUGGAACUGCAGCUCGUACCAUUCAGUGAAAAUCAAUCCAAUUAUGCAUCCCUCAGCAUUAAAGUACUCCAACAAAAUUAAGUGAACAGACUGAAAGAUACAAGGCAGGAUAAAGUCCGAAGGUAGAGCGACGGCAAUACUUACGGGAAUACAGUCUAUCCGAAAAGGAGGUAGGUACCCUAGUGCAGGCCUCAGCCACCUGGGCAAUAUCUGAAAACGUAAAAAAAAAAAAAAAGUCCUUACUCCAAAAGCAACAUUAGCUCUAGACACAAAGGGAUCAUGAUUAAGGUUUAGAGAGCAACCAUAGGACUUCAUGGUGCUGUAUCCAUGAGAUCAAGUUUCAUCAAAUUAUACCCUUUAAGUUGAGGCUCUUUGUUAUAUGUAAAUUAUACCUCAUUAAAGAGAGUUUCAAAACAUAAAA
This is a long non-coding RNA of Felis catus (domestic cat), 1684 nucleotides long. RefSeq lists it as uncharacterized. The record is from RefSeq and is a predicted model, not a curated record. The transcript is spliced from 3 exons. NCBI's taxonomy places the organism in Eukaryota, Metazoa, Chordata, Mammalia, Carnivora, Felidae.